Molecule: transfer RNA, 74 nt
Filed under: Simkaniaceae bacterium
Lineage: Bacteria; Pseudomonadati; Chlamydiota; Chlamydiia; Parachlamydiales; Simkaniaceae
Description: tRNA-Trp
Rfam family: tRNA
About the family: Transfer RNA (tRNA) molecules are approximately 80 nucleotides in length. Their secondary structure includes four short double-helical elements and three loops (D, anti-codon, and T loops).
Source: RNAcentral
GGGUGCGUAGCUCAGUUGGCUAGAGCAGCGAUCUCCAAAGUCGCCGGUCGGGGGUUCGAAUCCCUCCGCACUCG